Small nuclear RNA from Hippopotamus amphibius kiboko, 107 nucleotides. The record is from RefSeq and is a predicted model, not a curated record. Lineage: Eukaryota; Metazoa; Chordata; Mammalia; Artiodactyla; Hippopotamidae.
GAGCUGGCUUUGGCAGCACAUAUACUAAAAUUGGAAUAAUAUGGGGACGAUUAGCAUGGCUUCUGAGCAAGGAUGACAUGCAAAUUCCUGAAACGCUCCAAAUUAAA